RNAcentral lists this long non-coding RNA (1009 nucleotides) under Homo sapiens (human). Its description in RNAcentral is "HSALNT0156664". The record is from RNAcentral. Lineage: Eukaryota; Metazoa; Chordata; Mammalia; Primates; Hominidae.
UCAGCAGCCGCCCUUCUUCGCCAGGUGUGCUGAUUGCAAGUCUCUCUGUGCGGCAGGAGGGGACGUCUCCAAAGGGCAGGCGUCCAGUGGCAGCACCGCAGGCCUGUGGGUGUUCCACCUGCAGAGGCCCCAGAGCAGCCCACGGAGGGCCACGGUGGUAUUAUUCCCAUUUCACAGGGAAGAAGCAAGGUCAGAGCUCUUCCCAGAUGGCUCGCGCCAGGCCCAUGCUGCCCGCCCUUACCCGCUCCUCCCGUCCGGCGCUUGAGAGACGUGGUGUCUGGAAAGUCUGUCCCAUCCCAGCUUCCACAACACCCACUGAGACCCACGCCAACGCGCCCCGCCCACGAGAACCCAGGUCACUCCCGCUUGGUGACUGCGGAAGAACUUUCCGGGUGUCACGUUGGUCCAGUCCCAGGAUCCUCUGCAAAGAUACCAGGCACCAGGAACACUGUUGUAAUAAAUCUUUGCGUAAUUUUAGAGGGUGCAGUCCCACUCUGUUUCAUUCCCACUGCUGAGCCCCUCCUCCCUGCAGCCACGUCUCCCCAUGACUCGGCUGAGCUGUGGCUCUGUGGAAAGCACUCUGUGGCCGCCUCCGGGGUGGGAGGGUGGGAUGCUGUAGUGCUGAGCGAGGUGGGUUCGGGAAGGAGCGAUCACAGGAGCCCGGCUCCAGCACCCUGCAGCGGCACAGCCCUCUCGGGUUCCGGUACCUUCCCCACUGCAGCCGCUUCCACUAGAGCCUUUUACAUGGUCCCACUCCCAUGCCUGCCUUCAUGACGGGGGCUGGGUCCCUGGGCCGUUCCUCCUGGCUGUCCAGUCCCAUUACACGGGGGCCGGCGAGGACGCAGGGAAUGAUGGUGCCCUGCCACUAAUGGGCCAGCCGGUGGGCCCUACAUGCCAUUACAGAUGUCCUUAGAAGAGUAGAAGUGGAAGCUUUGACACCAAAGAGACCACGUGAAGACACAGCAGAGACGGAAGGGGUGCCUGCAGCCACCAGGAGCUGAAAGAGGCA